GGAAGGUGGGGGAGUGACGUCAAAUCAUCAUGCCCCUUAUGACCUGGGCUACACACGUGCUACAAUGGUUGGUACAACGAGUUGCGAGUCGGUGACGGCGAGCUAAUCUCUUAAAGCCAAUCUCAGUUCGGAUUGUAGGCUGCAACUCGCCUACAUGAAGUCGGAAUCGCUAGUAAUCGCGGAUCAGCACGCCGCGGUGAAUACGUUCCCGGGCCUU
RNAcentral lists this ribosomal RNA (217 nucleotides) under uncultured Streptococcus sp. Its description in RNAcentral is "partial 16S ribosomal RNA". It matches the Rfam family "Bacterial small subunit ribosomal RNA", at positions 1168 to 1382 of the family's 1533-position model. Lineage: Bacteria; Bacillati; Bacillota; Bacilli; Lactobacillales; Streptococcaceae. The record is from RNAcentral.